GAUGAACGCUGGCGGCGUGCCUAAUACAUGCAAGUCGAGCGAACAGGCGAGGAGCUUGCUCCUCUGACGUUAGCGGCGGACGGGUGAGUAACACGUGGAUAACCUACCUAUAAGACUGGGAUAACUUCGGGAAACCGGAGCUAAUACCGGAUAAUAUAUUGAACCGCAUGGUUCAAUAGUGAAAGACGGUUUUGCUGUCACUUAUAGAUGGAUCCGCGCCGCAUUAGCUAGUUGGUAAGGUAACGGCUUACCAAGGCAACGAUGCGUAGCCGACCUGAGAGGGUGAUCGGCCACACUGGAACUGAGACACGGUCCAGACUCCUACGGGAGGCAGCAGUAGGGAAUCUUCCGCAAUGGGCGAAAGCCUGACGGAGCAACGCCGCGUGAGUGAUGAAGGUCUUCGGAUCGUAAAACUCUGUUAUUAGGGAAGAACAAAUGUGUAAGUAACUAUGCACGUCUUGACGGUACCUAACCAGAAAGCCACGGCUAACUACGUG
This 497-nucleotide ribosomal RNA is filed under the name uncultured bacterium. RNAcentral's name for it is "partial 16S ribosomal RNA". It matches the Rfam family "Bacterial small subunit ribosomal RNA", at positions 28 to 507 of the family's 1533-position model. The record is from RNAcentral.